Zeugodacus cucurbitae (melon fly) is the source of this 1210-nucleotide long non-coding RNA. RefSeq lists it as uncharacterized. The record is from RefSeq and is a predicted model, not a curated record. Lineage: Eukaryota; Metazoa; Arthropoda; Insecta; Diptera; Tephritidae. The transcript is spliced from 3 exons.
CUGAAUGGUUACAAUUUUCCGAUUUUUUAUAUUCGGCAACGGUUUGUUUCAGAAACAUUUAUUACAAUGUUCGUAUUUAUAAAAAUAAUAUUUUUUAUAUAUCAAUAAGCAUAUACAUAUUAUCGAAAAAGUAAAGCAUGUGUUGUCAGGGUUUGUUGCGGCCGUUGAGGCCAUUUAAGGUUCUCGAAGUUUUGGGGUGGAAAGUUAGUGAAUCGGAGGAAGAGUGCCAAGAACAGCAAAGCUACCCCAUGUUACCGAAACCCAAGAAGGUGCUGAAAAAUUUUUCUGGUAAUAAAAUGGAUGUUCGUUUGUACAUGGUUUUACCAUAGCUGCAUGACUUCCAUCAAUGUAAUGAAAUGAAAUGUUGUUCGGUAUAUGUGAUGGUAUCGCUUUAUUAUAUGAAUGUAUGUAUCUGAAUGCAAUAUUUCCUUUUAAUAGCAGCCAUGACAACUUACUCCAUUGGAAUUUGAAGAAGCCAAUUGCUACAGACAAACAAAAACAGGUGUCACCAGAAAAAACAAGAAAUGGAUUUGAAAUGAAGUUGUGUAUCAAAUGCAGCUGACAGAGAACGAACAAAAGAAACCAGACAUACAUAUAGGGUGGUUGAUGUAAAUGAUGGCGGCUGGCGGCAAAAAAUAUAAAAAAGAGCGAAGAUAUAAAAGGGAAAAAAUACAAUUGAGGUGGUUUUCAAGAGAACUCGAUUUAGUUUGAAGCGAUAUUGUAUUCAAGUGUUUACAUGUUCAUUCAUAUACUCGUUAAGAGUGUAUGCGGACGGCUAUAUGCAAGUCUAAUAAAUUUGGUAGAAACAACGUUUUUAAAUCUGAACAACGUAGGAACGUUUUCAGAUCUUUCAUUACAAUAAUACAAUCAUCUUACAACCGUACAGGUUUACUAAACCCGUGCGUACAUUUACGAACAGUCUCUUGGUCAAUGCGGCAGAAGCUUACGCAAAACCACGAACAAAUGCCAACAGCGUCAACUGUUCACUACAGUUUUUGAACCCAUGCUGCGUUAGUAAUUAAAACAAAUAAAUAAUUUUAAAGGCACUCACGAUGUAAAUUCGUCGUAACAUAAUUCAUUGGCUUAGAAAAUUUCCAUACAAGUAUAUACAUAUUAUAGUUUCCGUUUACAGAAUAAUACCUUUGACAUACACGUUUUUAUAUGAUAAUACUAAAAAAUAGCUCAAUAAAUCAAUAAUAUAUGUGAAAGA